GUCUGUCUGCCUUACACCAAGCCUGCCUGUCUGUCUGUCUGCCUUACACCAAGCCUGUCUGUCUGUCUCAGUGGCUCUGAUAGCCACAGCAAUAAUUCAAGUGAAAUAAAUGUACUUCAACAAGUGUGUGUGUGAGAUUUUAAGAAGACAGACAGCCCAAUACACGGGGAUAUUUAAUAAGCACAGAUGGCCCUGACAGAACGCGUGUGUGUGUGCGUGUGGUGCUCUGAGGGUGUUUGUGUGCUUUUCAUCCAGGAACAGGAAGCUAUAACAGGAAGCAAGAUGGAGGCAGGAAGUAGCAAUCACUCUCUCUCUCUUUCUUUAUGAAGUGUACGCACACACACACACACACACACACCUUUCUCAGGAAAUGACAAUGUUGAGUGAUAGUGAAGAAAAAUAUAAACACAGGAAAUCAGGCCUGAUCACAUGUGGGGGAAAACAUCAAAGCUCUCUCUCUCUCUCUCACUCACACACACGCGCACACACACGCACACACACGCACGCACACACACAGCUGCAGUUAAUAACCACUAUAUCAUCAGAUGGUGCUGACACACACACACACACAGAUGAAAAAAGCAGAGGGAGACUGAUGGAGAAGCGGAAGAGACAGAGACACAAAGAAUGAGCGACAGAGAGAUGAAGCAUUUAGUGAUGACCAGUAUUGUGUGUGUGUGUGUGUGUGUUGCACCAGUAAAGCACUCAGGAGGAGUGUAAAGUGUAACCUUGCUCAUGAUCAGUAAAACGGUAAACGCUGAUUAACGUCCACGUCUGCUGAGGAGCUCGAUUUACACACAAACACACACGCUGCUGCAGGCUAGCAGCGCUAACAAUGCUAACAGAGCUAAAGUCACAUUACACACGCCGAGUUAACCAGAGUUCACCGACACACACGCGGACCUGACGGUGUGGGCGAACCAGGUUUAUACAGGGGACUGAACGAACACACACACACACACACACACACACACACACACACACACACACACAGGUCCAAACCCAGGAAAUAACAGUAUGGGAGGGUUAAAAUGGAAAAUACAAACAUGACCGCACCAAACCUGACAAUGUUUAAAUAUUUCCACGUUACACUGGAAUAUUCUCCAACACACACUAUAAGAGCCGCCUUAUUUUAUUUUAAAUAAAUAAAUAAAUAAUCAGCAGCUGCACAGGUGUUCUGAACUCUCCGAUAUGAAUGGACACACUCUGGAAGCUCCGCCCCUUUCCCCCAUCUCGCAGUGGUAUUAUUUUUUUGUCCCGUGCCUGCGACGUGACGCACUCGGAGGAAAGCGCUAUCCGCCCUGUUCCGCAUACACGACUCCAACAGACGCACGUGAUUGGCUAGUGUCUCUGUGAUCGACAGGAGAGAGAGAGAGAAUAAAUCUGAAAUCAAUCCAAACUCGUAUCCUGAUACCGCCGUCUGCCUGCAGACUCCCGCCCACGUUAUAAUAAAACGGAAACGUUACCGUGACGAUGCAGAUUAUACACUGCACGGCAAACUCGGUCACAAAAGCAGCAUGAAACCUAACCUCAUUAUCCUUACACUCAUUAUGCGUUCAUUAAGGUUACAUAUCGUACAGGAGCGUGGUCUACGCGCGAGGAGGACCAACAAACAGCAACUAUCUUCACCGAAGAGCACGGGAGAGAGAGGAAACGGAAAAAAGACAAGACACAAAGAGCAGCAGGCUUAUUCAUUCCGUGUGUCCACCACACACACACACACACUUUCCCUCGCUCCCACACACUCUCACAGAGGACUCCUUUCAUUCCGGCCCAGGCGCUGCCAGGUACAGAUGAUAGAGAGAGAGCGAGCGAGAGAGCGCGAGAUUACAAACAAAUCUGCACACAGUUUAUACAGAAUAUUUCCACUGAAAAAUGUUGUGUAAGGAUGGCGACACCGUAACGGAUCUCGGCUACAACCGUUACUCAACAGCGACGCUGCGUGCGUUAUUUGUUCAUCGACGGUGUUGCCACAAACAUAAUAAACGUGCAUCGCGUGUGCGGGAGAAAACGCUUCUCACUAACUAGUCGACGGAAAUCGAGAAAAACUAUUCGCGACCGAACAGUACCGAAAAACAAACAACAACAACACACACGGUGUAUCCGUGUAAUCUGCGGCGAACUGCUGCACCUGUAAUCUAACGAUUUAACAACGUGAACUAAAAUACCAAAACCUAAGAUACCUUUUGAAAUAAGGAAAUCAGGGUUUAGACCUCAUCAUAGCACAGAGACAGCGCUGGUUAAAGUAGUAAAUGACCUACUACUGACUUACGAUCAGGGUUGUGUCUCGCUGCUUGUGUUACUCGACCUUACUGCAGCUUUUGAUACUAUAGAUCACACUAUUCUCCUUGAUAGAUUAGAAAAUGUUGUUGGUAUUAAGGGAACAGUCCUCUCCUGGCUCAGGUCUUAUCUGACCGAUCGUUAUCAGUUCGUAGAUGUAAAUGGAGAAUUCUCCACGCGUACUGAGGUUACUUUUGGAGUUCCACAGGGUUCUGUUUUAGGCCCAUUGCUCUUUACUUUAUAUAUGCUACCCCUAGGUCAAAUUAUUCGUAAACAUGGAAUUAGCUUCCACUGUUCUGCUGAUGAUACACAGCUGUAUGUUUCAGCGAAGCCAGAGGACAGACAGAAGCUUAGUAAAGUUGAGGAUUGUGUAAAGGACAUUAGACGCUGGAUGAUUAUUAACUUCCUUCUACUUAAUUCUGAUAAGACAGAAAUACUUUUAUUAGGCCCACGUGUCAAUGUCUAUUGUAAAAAGCGCUAGACAAAUAAAAUCGAAUUGAAAAUAACCGUGUCAGCUUUAUUGCGGAAACCGUGUAACCUGUACCACUAAAAGGAUGAUGGAACCUGUAACCCUGAAACAUCACAACGGUGUAUCCUGUAACCCUGAAACAUCACAACGUGUAACCUGUAACCCUGAAACAUCACAACGGUGUAACCUGUAACCCUGAAACAUCACAACCGGUGUAACCUGUAACGCUGAAACAUCACACAACGGUGUGACCUGUAACCCUGAACAUCAUCACAACGGUGUAACCUGUAACCCUGAAAC
Long non-coding RNA from Ictalurus punctatus (channel catfish), 3049 nucleotides. The record is from Ensembl. NCBI's taxonomy places the organism in Eukaryota, Metazoa, Chordata, Actinopteri, Siluriformes, Ictaluridae.